UACGUAGGCAGCAAGCGUUGUUCGGAGUUACUGGGCGUAAAGAGUGCGUAGGCGGUGCUCUAAGUUUGGUGUGAAAUCUCCCGGCUUAACUGGGAGGGUGCGCCGAAAACUGGAGUGCUUGAGUAUGGGAGAGGCAAGCGGAAUUCCUGGUGUAGCGGUGAAAUGCGUAGAUAUCAGGAGGAACACCGGUGGUGUAAACGGCUUUCUGGACCAUAACUGACGCUGAGGCACGAAAGCGUGGGUAGCAAACAGG
Molecule: ribosomal RNA, 253 nt
Filed under: uncultured bacterium
Lineage: Bacteria
Description: partial 16S ribosomal RNA
Rfam family: Bacterial small subunit ribosomal RNA
Source: RNAcentral